This 316-nucleotide ribosomal RNA is filed under the name uncultured Thermoprotei archaeon. Its description in RNAcentral is "bacterial SSU rRNA". It matches the Rfam family "Archaeal small subunit ribosomal RNA", at positions 466 to 783 of the family's 1478-position model. The record is from RNAcentral. Lineage: Archaea; Thermoproteati; Thermoproteota; Thermoprotei.
CGCGGGUAUACAGCCCCGCGAGUGGUCGGGACGUUAUUGGGCUUAAGCGUCCGUAGCCGGUCCAGCAAGUCUCCCCUUAAAUCCCACGGCCCAACCGUGGGGCUGGUGGGAGAUAACUGCUGGGCUACGGGGCGGGAGAGGCCGAGGGUACUCCUGGGGUAGGGGCGAAAUCCUAUAAUCCUGGGAGGACCACCAGUGGCGAAGGCGCUCGGCCAGAACGCGCCCGACGGUGAGGGACGAAAGCUGGGGGAGCAAAGGGGAUUAGAUACCCCCGUAGUCCCAGCUGUAAACGAUGCGGGCUAGGUGUUGGGCGGAC